CGAGCGGAAACGACUUAACUGACCUUCGGGGAACGUUAAGGGCGUCGAGCGGCGGACGGGUGAGUAAUGCCUGGGAAAUUGCCCUGAUGUGGGGGAUAACCAUUGGAAACGAUGGCUAAUACCGCAUAAUGCCUUCGGGCCAAAGAGGGGGACCUUCGGGCCUCUCGCGUUAGGAUAUGCCCAGGUGGGAUUAGCUAGUUGGUGAGGUAAGGGCUCACCAAGGCGACGAUCCCUAGCUGGUCUGAGAGGAUGAUCAGCCACACUGGAACUGAGACACGGUCCAGACUCCUACGGGAGGCAGCAGUGGGGGAAUAUUGCACAAUGGGCGCAAGCCUGAUGCAGCCAUGCCGCGUGUAUGAAGAAGGCCUUCGGGUUGUAAAGUACUUUCAGUCGCGAGGAAGGUAGUGUAGUUAAUAGCUGCAUUGCUUGACGUUAGCGACAGAAGAAGCACCGGCUAACUCCGUG
Molecule: ribosomal RNA, 465 nt
Filed under: uncultured Vibrio sp.
Lineage: Bacteria; Pseudomonadati; Pseudomonadota; Gammaproteobacteria; Vibrionales; Vibrionaceae
Description: bacterial SSU rRNA
Rfam family: Bacterial small subunit ribosomal RNA
Source: RNAcentral